CUGGCGGCGUGCCUAACACAUGCAAGUCGAGCGAGGAGAUCCUUCGGGAUGAUCCUAGCGGCGGACGGGUGAGUAACACGUGGGCAACCUGCCUCAUAGAGAGGAAUAGCCUUCCGAAAGGGAGAUUAAUACCUCAUAACAUUGCAGUUUCGCAUGGAACAGCAAUUAAAGGAGCAAUCCGCUAUGAGAUGGGCCCGCGGCGCAUUAGCUAGUUGGUGAGGUAACGGCUCACCAAGGCGACGAUGCGUAGCCGACCUGAGAGGGUGAUCGGCCACAUUGGGACUGAGACACGGCCCAGACUCCUACGGGAGGCAGCAGUGGGGAAUAUUGCACAAUGGGGGAAACCCUGAUGCAGCCAACGCCGCGUGAGUGAUGACGGCCUUCGGGUUGUAAAGCUCUGUCUUCAGGGACGAUAAUGACGGUACCUGAGGAGGAAGCCACGGCUAACUACGUGCCAGCAGCUGC
This 465-nucleotide ribosomal RNA is filed under the name uncultured bacterium. RNAcentral's name for it is "bacterial SSU rRNA". It matches the Rfam family "Bacterial small subunit ribosomal RNA", at positions 36 to 518 of the family's 1533-position model. The record is from RNAcentral.